This 487-nucleotide long non-coding RNA is filed under the name Nicotiana benthamiana. RNAcentral's name for it is "long non-coding RNA (NBEN_LNC034979)". The record is from RNAcentral. Lineage: Eukaryota; Viridiplantae; Streptophyta; Magnoliopsida; Solanales; Solanaceae.
CCUAGGUAUCAAACCCUAGGUGUAACCUUAAAAGCAACUUUACUGGAAAUGUGGUCAGGAACGUCGGAGAGGCACCCAAAACGUCCACUGAGGGAGAAUCGAGCCACUGGAAGGCAGUAAAACUUCAGGUUAAACCACUAGAAACCCUAGAAGUCGAUAGGUCACCCAAAAUCAACCAAAAAUCAUCAUAAAAUCUUCCAGAAUAUUCAGGAGAAGAAAAUACACUCUGAUCACGAUGAAAGACUCAGAAAAGUCUCCGAUAGGUCGAAAUCUUCAUCGACCGUGAGGUCUUAGAAAUCACCCCCAAAAACCUCGAAACAGACUUCAUCCAAGACCACGAAGCACAUAGAAACAUAGUCGGAUCGUCGUCGAGCUAUGAUACCAUGUAAACAUUCAUUUUAGACCGAGAAAUCAUAGCAAAUCCAGAGAGAGAAAGUAGAGAGAAGUUAUAGCAUUUCGGAACUCUCUGGAAGAUGAGAGAUGUUAU